UCCCUCCUCCUCCUCCCUCCCUCGUCUGCCGCCGCGACUCCCUCCCUCCUCGUCGCCCCUGCCUCCGCCCUAGGAGCUUCGCCGCCUCCCACGCACUUGUUCUCUCCCUCGUCUCAUCUUCUCUGUGCUUCCGCCACAGCCUCCGCUUCCCUCCUCCCUCUCACCGGCUUCAUCUCCCCCACCUCCAUCUCCCUACCUCCGCACCUGGCUAGCACGGUCAGACCAUGCUAAGUGGACGAGAAGGCGCCAUCUCGGGAGGCAGGCCACACCUUCCAUGACGGCGCCCUGAUCUGCCGGAUCUUCCUCCUCAUCAGUCCAACACAGAGGAUUGGCGGAUCCGCCUCAUCUUUGGCGUCAUCGACCAGAGAAGGUGUUUUUUUUUCUUCUAGGUUGAUGGAUGGGGUAGGCGAAGAGGAGUGGCGGAUCUGCGUCCUCUUCGGCAUGCAGUUGUGCUCUCCAUUUUUGUGAGCUCGUCGCCUGUUGAGUUUGUUGUCGUUCUUGCACUGGUGCUGCUGCCGUGGAGGGCUUGGUUUAAUCUUGUCUACGGUGGGAUGGGGAUUCAGAGGAUAGAUUUUAUUGGCAGUAAGAAGUUAAGAGGUCAAGCGUGAGACGUCACAUGUCAAGGGAGAUUUUAGUUUUUUCGUGUCUGUGUGUGCAGCUUGUCUACGGUGGGAUGGGGAUUCAGAGGAUAAAUUUUAUUAGCAGUAAGAGGUUAAGAGGUCGAGCGUGAGACGUCACAUGUCAAGGGGAUUUAGUAUUUAGUCUCUUCUAAUCUGUGAAGAGAGACUACUGGUUUAAAGAGAAUCGAUACUUUAACAAGGUUUCUUCCAAUUCAACAAAGUCAGCUAUGGAGCUUUUCGAGGCAGCAGGACAUGAUGCCGCACGGAGAUGGGGAUGGCCAUUCCCGCCCCAAUGACGCCGGCCGAUGUCAGUGAGAGUAUCACCACCGACAACGGCUCCAACGAGCUCUCCAUGAGCUCCUGGGACGACACCAACUCCAACAUCAUGUUCUUCGCGCCUGGAAGCAAGAAGGCCAAGGUGCUCAUCAAUGGUGACAACGGCAUGGUCACCAACUUCAGCAAAAUCAAAUCCCAAUUUGGCCUGUCGAGCACGUCUUUGGACAUGCCCGGCAUGGACGGCUACUUGCAGCCGCAGCAGGACUUCGUCGCCUGCAUAGUCUUGAGACAAGCGUGUCUGCGCCACUCACCCGUGAAGCAUCACUAAGAGGCAAAGAAGAACAAGCAUUAGCAAGAGGCUAAGGAGGCUGCAAGACCUUGUGCCCAACAUGGACAAGGUAACUCUUACAGAAAUGUAGGGAAAGGCUGCGUACUAUAGACCCAAAGUGGUCGGACCCUUCCCUGGACCCUGCGCAAGCGGGAGCUACAUGCACCAGCUAUUCUCUCGGAGAAGUCGUUCAAUACAAUUGCUGGAAACAUGUUAAGUUUCUUCUUGAAGACGCAGCAAACAAAUACUUCAGAUAUGCUGGAUAUUGUUGUAGACUACAUCAAAGGGCUGUAGGACUGAACUGAGGUAUGCUCCACGCAGACACAAAGGUUAUAUAGCACACGUUUCCAGGAGGCCUUGUUAAAAAAUAUCAUUUUCUGCUGCAUAUUAACAUGUUUCGUUAAUUUUUAGACAAGUACAAACUGACUAACUAAUAACAACAUAUUUGUUUGCAAAUAGAAAAUGAUAAGAUGUAACGUUUAUUAUGUAAAAAUGGAUUUAUGCGCUUAUUGUCCACGGUUUGGCUUACUUGUUUGGUAUGCAAUGUGCUUGUGGUUCAUAACUGUCCACUGCACCAUUGGGUAAUAGCUAAUGUAAUAAGGAAGGAAAUUUACUUUGAUUCAGGGUCUGGUAGAUAUGUCAUAUAUGUGAUCUUGGAAUUUUGAUAGGCGUUUGUUGACAAACAUGCAAGAUCUAUUUUUUGUGUUUCCGACCUGCAUGUUUUUUUGGCUACAAUGGCUUGAUCAGAGAUGUGAGGAAUAUAUCAAUUGUUUCCCGUGGUAUUUGCCAUAUUUUUGUUUCAUACAUCUCCAAUUCGUCACUUUUUAGUUCCCAACAUGCUGCCGAAAUGCAGAUUGUAUGUGCAUCCUUGGUAGAGUAAUGCAUACAUGGAGUGUGUUCAUUUUUUAGAAACUGAAGAUUAAUACAAAGUUAUAUGGUUUUAUUUUUUGGGUCAAAAGUUUGAUUUAUGCAGUACACCAAUUAAUUCUCGAUACAUUUUGCGUAUUCAGCUUUUUGAUUAACUAUACAAAGUGCUCAUCUUGCUUCGGAUUCAAGUGAUCAGAUCUUGAUGAGAAGCAUGGCUAAAUGCACCUCCAACCACUAGAUUUAUGUGCCAAAAGUUUGAUUGAUGUAAUUCUCAAUGCAUCUAAGGUAUUCAACACCUCCCCAUAACUGCAUAUACUUUACGAUGCUAAUUUUGAGUUAACAAUUGCUUAAUAUUUCACCAUGCAGAUAUAUGACAUGAACAUUUUUCUAAUAUACAUAAAAAGAUUGUGCAUGUGCUAUUUGUAGUUUUUUGUACCUGGUCUAAUUUUUUAAGGCAUAUUCUUAGGAUUGCAUUCUGCUUAUUAGGCAUUGUUAAUUGUUUGAUCAUGAUGUAGAACAUAUCAAAACAAUAGGCAAACCAUAAAGGGUGAUUUGGUGGAAUAUGUAUCCUGGUUACUACAAGAAAUCAGUCAAGCAUGCUCGUACCUGCAGCCCUCAGUGGCGAGACAAAGGAUUCAGCCAUGGGAAGCAUUCUUGCCAAGUACAUACGGUUGGAUCUUGUGGCUCCUCCGUUGCACCAUGGAAUCGGCUUGACAAGCAGCGCACGUUGAACAGCGACAAGCAUGGCUAAUGACACAAGCUAACCCUAUUGGUCAGCUCUCCGUGAACACAUAGGUUCCUAUCACAUUUAUCCCCACCAAGCUUCAAUGAUAGAGAGAGCUACAUAGAGGUUUGACUGAGCGAGAUGGGGUUGACGGACAAGAAGAGGAACCAGAGGGGGGGGGGGUGCUCUUGCGGUGCUUGGCUUGUUCCAAGACCAUGAGGGGAAGGACUUGCUGGUGCGUGCUAUGAAUUGUUUUUGGUAUAUCCGUCUUUGAACAGGUUUAUGUGAUUGGCGGGGAUGGAACAAUGAGAGGAGCAGUGGCCAUAUUCGAAGAGUUUAAACGAUGUGGUUUGAGGAUAUCCAUUACAUGGAUCCCAAAAAACUUGGACAACGACAUCGACAUUAUAGACAAGGCGUUUGGGUUUCAAACCGCAGUGGAGAGUGCUCAGUAGGAAAUCGAUGCGACACAUGUGGGGUUGUGAAUACUGUGGAUGGCAUUGGUCUUGUCAAACUUAUGGGAAGGAGCACGGGCCACAUUAUUCUUCAUGCGACCCUGAGCAGCAUCAGAUGUUGACUGUUGUUUGAAUCCUGAGAUCGAUUUUCAUGUUGAAGGGAAGGGGCAUGUUGUCGUUGUUGUUGCUCAAGGCGCUGGUCAGGAGUUGAUUCCCCGGAUUGAUGACCAGAAGCGAGAGCAGGAUGAGUAUGGCAACAUGUUGUUCCUUAGAGUUGGCCUUCUUCUAUAAAGUUUACAUACAAUUCACAUGCAUGGUUAAAAAAGCUACUAUACUAAUGUAAAUGUUCUGUUUCUUUGAAGAUUACUCAUUUCGCUUA
This is a long non-coding RNA of Triticum aestivum (bread wheat), 3646 nucleotides long. RefSeq lists it as uncharacterized. NCBI's taxonomy places the organism in Eukaryota, Viridiplantae, Streptophyta, Magnoliopsida, Poales, Poaceae. The transcript has 9 exons. The record is from RefSeq and is a predicted model, not a curated record.